UCUCCGUAGGUGAACCUGCGGAGGGAUCAUUACAGAGUUCAUGCCCUACCGGGUAGAUCUCCCACCCUAUGUUAUUAUUACUUUGUUGCUUUGGCGGGCCGUUAGGCUCCGGCCCGACUACCGGCCCCGGCUGGUAAGCGCCCGCCAGAGGACCCUAAACCCUGAAUAUUAGUGUCGUCUGAGUACUAUAUAAUAGUCAAAACUUUCAACAACGGAUCUCUUGGUUCUG
RNAcentral lists this unclassified non-coding RNA (229 nucleotides) under plant metagenome. Its description in RNAcentral is "partial contains small subunit ribosomal RNA, internal transcribed spacer 1, and 5.8S ribosomal RNA". The record is from RNAcentral.